CUGGAGGUAUCAGAAGUGCGAAUGCUGACAUAAGUAACGAUAAAGCGGGUGAAAAGCCCGCUCGCCGGAAGACCAAGGGUUCCUGUCCAACGUUAAUCGGGGCAGGGUGAGUCGACCCCUAAGGCGAGGCCGAAAGGCGUAGUCGAUGGGAAACAGGUUAAUAUUCCUGUACUUGGUGUUACUGCGAAGGGGGGACGGAGAAGGCUAUGUUGGCCGGGCGACGGUUGUCCCGGUUUAAGCGUGUAGGCUGGUUUUCCAGGCAAAUCCGGAAAAUCAAGGCUGAGGCGUGAUGACGAGGCACUACGGUGCUGAAGCAACAAAUGCCCUGCUUCCAGGAAAAGCCUCUAAGCAUCAGGUAACAUCAAAUCGUACCCCAAACCGACACAGGUGGUCAGGUAGAGAAUACCAAGGCGCUUGAGAGAACUCGGGUGAAGGAACUAGGCAAAAUGGUGCCGUAACUUCGGGAGAAGG
This 471-nucleotide ribosomal RNA is filed under the name Escherichia coli. Its description in RNAcentral is "bacterial LSU rRNA". It matches the Rfam family "Bacterial large subunit ribosomal RNA", at positions 1273 to 1746 of the family's 2925-position model. RNAcentral also lists the same sequence under 7 other names. Lineage: Bacteria; Pseudomonadati; Pseudomonadota; Gammaproteobacteria; Enterobacterales; Enterobacteriaceae. The record is from RNAcentral.